This 76-nucleotide non-coding RNA is filed under the name Licmophora paradoxa. The record is from RNAcentral. Lineage: Eukaryota; Bacillariophyta; Fragilariophyceae; Licmophorales; Licmophoraceae.
AGACCACUGCUCUUCAAAGACGCCAACAAAGAUAUCUGAAUCAAACACUCGCACUUGCGGGCGUCUCAUCUACAUC